UGUAAGGGGAGAUGCAGGGAGC
RNAcentral lists this microRNA (22 nucleotides) under Mus musculus (house mouse). RNAcentral's name for it is "mmu-miR-6898-5p". The record is from miRBase by way of RNAcentral. Lineage: Eukaryota; Metazoa; Chordata; Mammalia; Rodentia; Muridae.